CCCUUAGAUGUUCUGGGCCGCACGCGCGCUACACUGAUGCAUUCAACGAGCCUAUCCUUGACCGACAGGUCCGGGUAAUCUUUGAAUCUGCAUCGUGACGGGGAUAGAUUAUUGCAAUUAUUAAUCUUCAACGAGGAAUGCCUAGUAGGCGCAAGUCAUCAGCUUGCGUCGAUUACGUCCCUGCCCUUUGUGCACACCGCCCGUCGCUCCUACCGAUUGGGUGUGCUGGUGAAAUGUUCGGAUCGGCCGUUUGUCGCGGUUUCCGCGGCUCGUGGCUGAGAAGUUCAUUAAACCCUCCCACCUAGAGGAAGGAGAAGUCGUAACA
Molecule: ribosomal RNA, 325 nt
Filed under: uncultured eukaryote
Lineage: Eukaryota
Description: partial 18S ribosomal RNA
Rfam family: Eukaryotic small subunit ribosomal RNA
Source: RNAcentral